This 493-nucleotide ribosomal RNA is filed under the name uncultured bacterium. RNAcentral describes it as "partial 16S ribosomal RNA". It matches the Rfam family "Bacterial small subunit ribosomal RNA", at positions 29 to 523 of the family's 1533-position model. The record is from RNAcentral.
AUUGAACGCUGGCGGCAUGCCUUACACAUGCAAGUCGAACGGUAACAGGUUAAGCUGACGAGUGGCGAACGGGUGAGUAAUACAUCGGAACGUGCCCAGUAGUGGGGGAUAGCCCGGCGAAAGCCGGAUUAAUACCGCAUACGACCUACGGGUGAAAGGGGGGGAUCGCAAGACCUCUCGCUAUUGGAGCGGCCGAUGUCAGAUUAGGUAGUUGGUGGGGUAAAAGCCUACCAAGCCGACGAUCUGUAGCUGGUCUGAGAGGACGACCAGCCACGCUGGGACUGAGAGACGGCCCAGACUCCUACGGGGGGCAGCAGUGGGGAAUUUUGGACAAUGGGCGCAAGCCUGAUCCAGCCAUGCCGCGUGCGGGAAGAAGGCCUUCGGGUUGUAAACCGCUUUUGUCAGGGAAGAAACGCUCUGGGUUAAUACCCUGGGGUAAUGACGGUACCUGAAGAAUAAGCACCGGCUAACUACGUGCCAGCCGCCGCGGUAA